UACGUAGGGCGCAAGCGUUGUCCGGAAUUAUUGGGCGUAAAGAGCUCGUAGGCGGCCUGUUGCGUCCGCUGUGAAAUCCCGGGGCUUAACCCCGGGCUUGCAGUGGAUACGGGCAGGCUGGAGGCAGGCAGGGGAGAACGGAAUUCCCGGUGUAGCGGUGAAAUGCGCAGAUAUCGGGAGGAACACCGGUGGCGAAGGCGGUUCUCUGGGCCUGCACUGACGCUGAGGAGCGAAAGCGUGGGGAGCGAACAGG
This 253-nucleotide ribosomal RNA is filed under the name uncultured bacterium. RNAcentral's name for it is "partial 16S ribosomal RNA". It matches the Rfam family "Bacterial small subunit ribosomal RNA", at positions 524 to 776 of the family's 1533-position model. The record is from RNAcentral.